RNAcentral lists this long non-coding RNA (1116 nucleotides) under Phoenix dactylifera (date palm). Its description in RNAcentral is "long non-coding RNA (PDAC_LNC014865)". The record is from RNAcentral. Lineage: Eukaryota; Viridiplantae; Streptophyta; Magnoliopsida; Arecales; Arecaceae.
AAAAAAAAGUCGAAGCUUUUAGAAGGUCAAAACCAAGUAAACUAUAAUUUUACAAUAUCUACUGAUCUUAAUGAGAGCCAGAACAAGCAAAAUUUAGACCACAUUAUAGGCUGAUAUAUAAUAGUCCAAGACCAAUGGCAAAUAAGAGAGAGACGGGUCAUAGAUUUCAUUUUCAUGCUUCCAUAAAAGAAAUCCCACUUAGGAUUCCAUUUUCCAUGCGAGCGUCGAGUGACGACAAUGGGUCUUCGGAUCAUAGGCACCAUGUCUCCUUCUUUGAACUAUCUGGACCUGCUUAUCGAAAGCCUGAGCUAUGUGUGAAUGGUAGAUCGAUUCCAUGAGAAAUUUACAGGCCUUUUACACAAGCAAAAAAAAAUCCAAUCUUAUCAUGCAAGUAGAUGUUCUAUAAAUCCAACCCUAGAUAGUUGGAAAAAAGUUGGAAGAUCAUGGUUGCAGCUAUCAGGCAACUAGGUGAUCCAUUAACCAAUUACAUGAAACUUAACUCGAAUCCCUAUGAUAACCGAGCAUAAGUAUACAACCUUUCCUAAUUCAAGCACUAAGUGCCAAUGAACCUACAGAACAAGCAACCAUCCAACCACAUAACGAGAAUGCUGAUAUUGUUAUCUGCAUUUUAAAAUAGCUUUUGAAUUCUGAAAGCACCAAGUAAGAACUAUCCGUAGUUGUCAAAAAGCCUCAGCAACCCUAGGCGAUGGACCAUCCUAUAGCCUAGGCGACUGCCCAGACAAAAAAAAAGGCACAAAAUUUAUAGAAUAACCUAUAUGUAUUUCAAUUAUUAAUUAAACCUUCACUUCUCAAUAAACUAUCUAUACAACAUGAUUCAAAAAUACAAUGGUAAUAAUUAAGGUAUGAUUUCUAUUUAGGACAUAAUACUCAAAGACCAUCACAAUUUUAUUCUUUUGAUCUAAAAUUAUAGAAGACAAGCAUAUAAAGCCACCGCUGUUUUAGCAACAUAGAGUAAUAAUAUUAAUUAUACAUGAUGUUACUACUCCAUCAAUAGUAGUAACACUAGUACGUUACCACUUACCACUAUGAUUACAGCAGUAACACUGGCAUGUCACCACAGUAUACAAAAUUACGAAAACAAAGCAUAACACAAGC